AAUACAUGCAAGUCGUACGCACUGGCCCAACUGAUUGACUGGUGCUUGCACCUGUAUUGACGAUGGAUCACCAGUGAGUGGCGGACGGGUGAGUAACACGUAGGUAACCUUGCCCCGGAGCGGGGGAUAACAUUUGGAAACAGAUGCUAAUACCGCAUAACUACGGAAGCUGCAUGGUUUUUGUUUGAAAGAUGGCUUUGGCUAUCACUCUGGGAUGGACCUGCGGUGCAUUAGCUAGUUGGUAAGGUAACGGCUUACCAAGGCGAUGAUGCAUAGCCGAGUUGAGAGACUGAUCGGCCACAAUGGAACUGAGACACGGUCCAUACUCCUACGGGAGGCAGCAGUAGGGAAUCUUCCACAAUGGGCGCAAGCCUGAUGGAGCAACACCGCGUGAGUGAAGAAGGGUUUCGGCUCGUAAAGCUCUGUUGUUGGAGAAGAACGUGCGUGAGAGUAACUGUUCACGCAGUGACGGUAUCCAACCAGAAAGUCACGGCUAACUACGUGCCAGCAGCCGCGGUAAUACGUAGGUGGCAAGCGUUAUCCGGAUUUAUUGGGCGUAAAGCGAGCGCAGGCGGUUGCUUAGGUCUGAUGUGAAAGCCUUCGGCUUAACCGAAGAAGUGCAUCGGAAACCGGGCGACUUGAGUGCAGAAGAGGACAGUGGAACUCCAUGUGUAGCGGUGGAAUGCGUAGAUAUAUGGAAGGAACACCAGUGGCGAAGGCGGCUGUCUGGUCUGCAACUGACGCUGAGG
RNAcentral lists this ribosomal RNA (749 nucleotides) under uncultured Bacilli bacterium. RNAcentral's name for it is "bacterial SSU rRNA". It matches the Rfam family "Bacterial small subunit ribosomal RNA", at positions 50 to 751 of the family's 1533-position model. The record is from RNAcentral. Lineage: Bacteria; Bacillati; Bacillota; Bacilli.